Molecule: long non-coding RNA, 365 nt
Organism: Oncorhynchus tshawytscha (Chinook salmon)
Lineage: Eukaryota; Metazoa; Chordata; Actinopteri; Salmoniformes; Salmonidae
Source: Ensembl
CAGCUGUUCUAAUUCUAUUGAUUCUAAUCCCGCCAUUUUAUUACUCACCCUAUUACACAGGCCUGAAGGUCACAGCAGCCAUUUUAUUACACACCCUAUUACACAGGUCUGAAGGUCACUGCAGCCAUUUUAUUACACACCCUAUUACACAGGUCUGAAGGUCACUGCAGCCAUUUUAUUACACACCCUAUUACACAGGUCUGAAGGUCACUGCAGCCAUUUUAUUACUCACCCUAUUACACAGGUCUGAAGGUCACUGCAGCCAUUUUAUUACUCACCCUAUUACACAGGUCUGAAGGUCACUGCAGCCAUUUUAUUACACACCCUAUUACACAGGCCUGAAGGUCACUGCAGCCAUUUUAUUA